This 760-nucleotide ribosomal RNA is filed under the name uncultured Bacilli bacterium. RNAcentral describes it as "bacterial SSU rRNA". It matches the Rfam family "Bacterial small subunit ribosomal RNA", at positions 28 to 768 of the family's 1533-position model. The record is from RNAcentral. Lineage: Bacteria; Bacillati; Bacillota; Bacilli.
GACGAACGCUNGGCAGCGUGCCUAAUACAUGCAAGUCGAGCGGACCGACGGGAGCUUGCUCCCUUAGGUCAGCGGCGGACGGGUGAGUAACACGUGGGUAACCUGCCUGUAAGACUGGGAUAACUCCGGGAAACCGGGGCUAAUACCGGAUGCUUGAUUGAGCCGCAUGGUUCAAUUAUAAAAGGUGGCUUUCAGCUACCACUUACAGAUGGACCCGCGGCGCAUUAGCUAGUUGGUGAGGUAACGGCUCACCAAGGCGACGAUGCGUAGCCGACCUGAGAGGGUGAUCGGCCACACUGGGACUGAGACACGGCCCAGACUCCUACGGGAGGCAGCAGUAGGGAAUCUUCCGCAAUGGACGAAAGUCUGACGGAGCAACGCCGCGUGAGUGAUGAAGGUUUUCGGAUCGUAAAACUCUGUUGUUAGGGAAGAACAAGUACCGUUCGAAUAGGGCGGCACCUUGACGGUACCUAACCAGAAAGCCACGGCUAACUACGUGCCAGCAGCCGCGGUAAUACGUAGGUGGCAAGCGUUGUCCGGAAUUAUUGGGCGUAAAGCGCGCGCAGGCGGUUUCUUAAGUCUGAUGUGAAAGCCCCCGGCUCAACCGGGGAGGGUCAUUGGAAACUGGGGAACUUGAGUGCAGAAGAGGAGAGUGGAAUUCCACGUGUAGCGGUGAAAUGCGUAGAGAUGUGGAGGAACACCAGUGGCGAAGGCGACUCUCUGGUCUGUAACUGACGCUGAGGCGCGAAAGCGUGGGGAG